This 305-nucleotide ribosomal RNA is filed under the name uncultured bacterium. Its description in RNAcentral is "bacterial SSU rRNA". It matches the Rfam family "Bacterial small subunit ribosomal RNA", at positions 333 to 630 of the family's 1533-position model. The record is from RNAcentral.
GUGCUCCUACGGGGCGCAGCAGUGGGGAAUAUUGCGCAAUGGGCGAAAGCCUGACGCAGCGACGCCGCGUGAGGGAUGAAGGUCUUCGGAUCGUAAACCUCUGUCAGCAGGGAAGAACGGUCACUGUGCUAAUCAGCAGUGAAUUGACGGUACCUGAAGAAGAAGCCCCGGCUAACUACGUGCCAGCAGCCGCGGUAAUACGUAGGGGGCAAGCGUUAUCCGGAUUUACUGGGUGUAAAGGGGGCGCAGACGGCGAUGCAAGCCAGGAGUGAAAGCCCGGGGCCCAACCCCGGGACUGCUCUUGG